CGUGGUUCCGCGUGAAAAUGCCUGGCCUGUGAAGCUCCAGGCUCCUGGCGUCUGCCACGUUUCAGCCUGCACCCCCCCCCAGACCAGUCCAGGGCACCAGGACGGGAGAAGAGCCCGUGGAGGCUGGACGCGUCCUGUGGGCGGCCGAACACCAGAGCCUACAAGCUCCACCCCAGAGGAAAAAGAAGUGCUGUUGCUUAGUCACUUUAGUGAGGACCGUCUGCUUUGUAAGGUCACAGUGAGUGAAUGGUCUGAGAAAUGUGCACAGGCACGUGGGCACCGCCGGCCAGGCAGAUGGUAGUUCCCACGGGCUGUGACUUUGAGAGGACCGCUGUGAGUAGAUGCCCUGCCCAAGUGUCCGGCCAGUAAGUAAGGGUAGCUGCAUGAAUCUGAUCUCUGGGCGCGGGGACUUGACCCUCCCGGUGAGACGCAGCACAGUGGACAGGCGUCCGCGGACUGCAGGGCAGAAGAGGUCUUACAGCAUGGGGACACCAGAGCCCUCCAAUUCUGCUGGGAGCCAGAAUCCCAAGAAGAGGUGGGCUUUGCACAGAGCGUCGCUGAUGUCACCCGAGCAGAACACUUCGGCCAGGACAGCGGGCAGAAACGUGGAUUGUCCCUAGGAAGACAGCCGAUGAGGUCACCCCCUCCCAGAGCCACACAGGGGCGCAUUCAGGCCUGUCUCAGUGCUUUCUCGGACUUGGCUUCAUUUAAUCCUGACAAUGAUGCUGUGAUGCGAUCCUCGCUGGCCGCCGUGAGCCGCCAGGGUUAGCGAGGCAGCAGGCGGGCCCAGCUGUGCGCUGACUCCGGCUGGAGCGUAGCUGUCCGCACCCCUCCCUCGGAGGGCUUCGGCCCUCUCUGAGGUUCCAUCAGGUGUUUCAGAGAAGCGUCCUCCAGGGUGGACCCAGGCUGCGGGGGCAGCGCCGAGCCCUGGCCACUGGACCACCAUGGUUGGUGUCUCCGGACAUCGACACCGCAGCAGGAACUUCGCAGACGCUCAGGCAGGCAGGCGAGAAGAGGCAGGUUUGUUUAGAGAAAGGAAAGUUGAUGGACGAGACAGGGAACAGAAAGCGGGACUCGGCCGGACUGUGAGACCAGGCGGCACAGGCUGAGGAGGCCAGGCGAGGCGUGCAGGGAGUGGGGCCCUUCUUGCCCCGACUGUCAACUGUCCUAAAGCCCCCCCCCCCGUGGGGGCCUUGCCCUUGUCUCAUGCGCCAUCUUGGUGUCCCCCUGUGCCCAGCGGUAAGUCUCUGUGUCCGGCCUUUAUCCUGGAAUCCUUUUUCUCUAUAACCCGUAUUCCAGAAGGUCCUGCUGCCCCCAGUCCUGGGGUGUUUGUCCCCCUUGGAACUUGUCGCCCUUCCCUCUGGGGCCCUCUUCAUGCUUCUGAGGCUCCUGCACAGCCUCGGAGCUGCCUCAUCAUCCCCAACUUGUCUUGGGGCUCACGGGGGCCUGAGGUUAGUGUGCGGUUGGGCCUCGUGGUUUUGGUGGUUCCUUCCAGCCCAACUGUACCUGCAGACUCUGAGACAGGCUUUGGUAUAUUUUGAAUUCCUGAUGGGGGUUGGGGGGCUCGGGGGUACUUGCAAGAUGUUAAUGCUCUCAAAGGAGGCACUGGUCAGGGCAUCCCACUUGAUGGCUGCGGGACUUCAAGUCUGACACUCUCAGAGACUCAGCGUUUCUAAAAAUGUGGAAUAGCUUCCUCUCCCUGUCCCUUCACACUCAGCUUUUCUGGGACAACAAAAUACAUUACUACAAGCAGGCACAUUGCAAACAGAGAAACAUCGCACAAAAAUAGCAACUUCCCUUUUGCCAGCAUUCAGUCUUACUUUCCAAAGUCCAUUUAUGGAGGCGAUAAGGCAGAGAAGGACCAUGGAAAGAGCCAGGUCAUGCAGCCGGACAGGUGCAUUUGAAUCCCUGAAUAGCACUGGGCCCCCCGGGGGCCCCAGCCAAGUGGUGUGUCUUGUCUGGACCUCAGCUCUAAGAAUAGUCACCUUCUGUGGGCCUUAAGAAGACACGUGAGCUAAAGUGGAGCUCUCUUUCUGGCACACAGAUCUCCAAAGAAACAUUUGUUUAACAUUUGUUUUCUGCAUUGUAGAGCCUUCAACCUGCACCCCGAAGUCCUGGAGCAACACCCUGGUGGCCAUUGUGGGGUGACCUGAGGUUUUGCCCCACAGCAUCUCCAUUGAAAACCUUUCCUGCCUGCGGCCACAAACCGGCUCUGCCUGUUAGGGCCUAGAACCGCGUUCACUUUUUGACUCAUCUCUACUCCUUGGAAAGGGAGUCAACAAAAGCUUGAUUGGUUUUCCACUGCUCCUAGGCAGGAGAAGGGUUAGCAUAUUAUUAUUUUAUAAAAACAUGAAUAAUAAAAUAUGCCAUAAA
Long non-coding RNA from Condylura cristata (star-nosed mole), 2373 nucleotides. RefSeq lists it as uncharacterized. Lineage: Eukaryota; Metazoa; Chordata; Mammalia; Eulipotyphla; Talpidae. The transcript is spliced from 3 exons. The record is from RefSeq and is a predicted model, not a curated record.